Molecule: long non-coding RNA, 922 nt
Organism: Lolium perenne
Lineage: Eukaryota; Viridiplantae; Streptophyta; Magnoliopsida; Poales; Poaceae
Source: RefSeq, a predicted model, not a curated record
AUCUUAAGCGCAUCUUUCUUUGAUAGCAAAAGUGUUGGCACAUCGUCCCAUCUUCCGCCCGCAAAUCUCGCCGCCGACUGCAAGGCAACUCCGUCCCAAGAAACCCUCACGCAGUCACCUCCUUCCCCCCACGAUCUCUCCUCUACAUCUCUCACUCGACCCGCUGCCAGCAAUCACCUCGGCACUGCCACCGCUUUACCUGUCGUCUCCAGCGCCGCUGUCCUCUCUCUCUUCCCCAUUGCCUUUCCGCUUCCACAAGGGACCAUCCCUCCGCCACCACACCCGUCAUCUUCACCAUCUAGCACCAUGGCGACUGUAUCUGUUGCGGCGUCGAUGACUACCAUGGGCACGCUGGCGCGGUAUGGUGGGUGAUGGCCUGAUGGGCUUGGUGUAACAAUCUUGUUUUUCCAAUUCGCGGCAAGGCUCACGCACAGGUAUGGUUAGCUUCAUGUAGGAGCAGCGAUGGCAUUGUCGACGCAGCGGGCCGCAGCUGAGAUGGGGGCACAUGGUCAAGGUAGAGAUCCCUGCCAUCUUCAAUUUUGUACAUGAGAUCCAUGAUCCAUCGGUUAACUAGACGAGAUUUGGGAUUGGUUUUUUCUUGGACUCCUCCCGAUUGCAAGGAUUCGAGUUUUCGGUGGAUUGCCUUGUCGACGCAGCGGACCGCAACUGAGAUGGGGGCACACGGGCAAGGGCAUAGUCACGUCAGUAAUCGGGUGCCUGAUAUUGGCAUGCUGUGUGGAGAAGAAGGGGAUUUUCACCAACGCCUUCAGCUUUCUAUCACGGAUGUUCGCCACCAACCCUUUACCGGAAGCGUGUUGGAUUCAACGCUUGUGAUUAUGUGUCUCUACCUUGAACUACCGAGCAAGAAAUAGGAACAAAUAACUGGGCAUGCGAUGCACCCUGGUGAGAACUUUCAAGAAUA